Molecule: ribosomal RNA, 494 nt
Filed under: uncultured bacterium
Lineage: Bacteria
Description: partial 16S ribosomal RNA
Rfam family: Bacterial small subunit ribosomal RNA
Source: RNAcentral
GACGAACGCUGGCGGCGUGCUUAACACAUGCAAGUCGAACGGUGAAGCGCCUUCCUUUUUGGUGGGUGUGGAUGAGUGGCGAACGGGUGAGUAACACGUGAGUAACCUGCCCCCUUCUUCUGGAUAACCGCAUGAAAGUGUGGCUAAUACGGGAUAUUCUGGGUCUGUCGCAUGAUGGGUCUGGGAAAGAUAUUGUUUCGGUGGGGGAUGGGCUCGCGGCCUAUCAGCUUGUUGGUGGGGUGAUGGCCUACCAAGGCGGUGACGGGUAGCCGGCCUGAGAGGGUGGCCGGUCACACUGGGACUGAGACACGGCCCAGACUCCUACGGGGGGCAGCAGUGGGGAAUAGUGCACAAUGGGCGCAAGCCUGAUGCAGCGACGCCGCGUGAGGGAUGGAGGCCUGCGGGUUGUGAACCUCUUUCGCCAGUGAAGCAGGCCUGCCUGGUGUGUGGGUGGGUUGACGGUAGCUGGAUAAGAAGCGCCGGCUAACUACGUG